This 253-nucleotide ribosomal RNA is filed under the name Solirubrobacterales bacterium. RNAcentral describes it as "partial 16S ribosomal RNA". It matches the Rfam family "Bacterial small subunit ribosomal RNA", at positions 524 to 776 of the family's 1533-position model. RNAcentral also lists the same sequence under 1 other name. The record is from RNAcentral. Lineage: Bacteria; Bacillati; Actinomycetota; Thermoleophilia; Solirubrobacterales.
UACGUAGGGGGCAAGCGUUGUCCGGAAUCAUUGGGCGUAAAGAGCGCGUAGGCGGCCCGACAAGUCCGCUGUGAAAGUCAAGGGCUCAACCCUUGAAUGCCGGUGGAUACUGUCGGGCUAGAGUCCGGAAGAGGCGAGUGGAAUUCCUGGUGUAGCGGUGAAAUGCGCAGAUAUCAGGAGGAACACCGAUGGCGAAGGCAGCUCGCUGGGACGGUACUGACGCUGAGGCGCGAAAGCGUGGGGAGCAAACAGG